This is a long non-coding RNA of Mustela erminea (ermine), 1125 nucleotides long. RefSeq lists it as uncharacterized. The record is from RefSeq and is a predicted model, not a curated record. The transcript has 4 exons. NCBI's taxonomy places the organism in Eukaryota, Metazoa, Chordata, Mammalia, Carnivora, Mustelidae.
UCCAGGAGCGGGAGCUGAGCUGUUAGAGAGCUCCCGGGAACGGCUGCUUCCUCAGCCCGGCUCAGGAGCCUCCUCCAGCAGGGCCCUCUCCAGCUCAGGCUUACAUGUUGGCUGACCCGGCUGACCGCUGCCCCCCACCCCCACAGCCACCACUGCUGUCUUCAGUAGCAGCGGCGGCGGCGGCGGCGGCCGCUCCUCUCUCGGCUCUUGGUGAGACCUACCACAGGCCCAGGCCAAGGACCUCUCUGGAAAAGCCACCUUCCGUUCUGAGAUCCCAGUUCCGGACUGGAGCUGCUCCCCUCGAGUAUAGAGAAGGGAGGGAAAAGUCAAGAGAGAAGGAACUCGAGAAGACAGUGGGAGAGAGACGUGCGCACACAGAGGAACAGAAUGAAGGAAAGACACAGACCCAGAAACACCGAGGACUUAUCCACGGACUGAGGAGAGAGCAAACAGGACAGCACAAGAGGAGCACGCCAGGGGGCCACCACUAAGGAGAUAUUUGCAUUCACAAAUAAACUGGCACAGGGAGCGGCCAGAGACACAGCCAGUGGACCCACCUGGAGGCCAGAAAGGAGGCCAGGACUGCGGAGCUGGCGGAGGGACGCAGGGAGAGGCUUCCAGCACAGCUGCAAACCUGGUCCUCGCACAGCAGCCCACCGGGCACUAGCCCCCGCAAAGCUCAGGGGCCUCUCUGCUCGGCUGCAAGAGAUGAUCUCACAGGCCAGGUGGGGCCCAGGCAGUGGGGAGGCUGGAAGAGGUGAAGGAAGCCCCAGGGCUUUGGAGUCCCACUCUGGUAUGCCGGGACACCUCUUGACUCUCCAGCUCCUAGGGACUGACCCACCACACCCAAAGGCACAGGGAGCAUCACUUAAGCACACACCGUCCCAGCCCCCCACCCCUCCAAUCCCCACAUAGACACUGUCUCCGUGUUCUUUCUUCAUCCUACAGACCACAGAGACAGAGCCCCGCAGCCCACCGCAGCCGGCAUGCACAGUCUUCUAAUACUCAGCCCACAAAUCAGCUUAUAGUUGUCAGAUGUGCUGCUUAUCCCAUACCCCGUACCCCCUAACCCCUACCGCACCCAAAACUACACUCCAGCAGCAAGGUCAUGCUCGCACACAUACA